RNAcentral lists this ribosomal RNA (463 nucleotides) under uncultured bacterium. RNAcentral's name for it is "partial 16S ribosomal RNA". It matches the Rfam family "Bacterial small subunit ribosomal RNA", at positions 28 to 507 of the family's 1533-position model. The record is from RNAcentral.
GACGAACGCUGGCGGCGUGCUUAACACAUGCAAGUCGAACGGAAAGGCCUUUUCGGAGGUACUCGAGUGGCGAACGGGUGAGUAACACGUGGGUGAGCUGCCCUGCACUCUGGGAGAAGACUGGGAAACUGGGUCGAAUACCGGAUAGGACGGCACUUGAGUGAGUGUGGUGGAAAGUUUUGUCGGUGUAUGUUGAGCCCGCGGCCUAUCAGCUUGUUGGUGGGGGAAUGGCCUGCCAAGGCGGCGACGGGUAGCCGGACUGAGAGGUUGGGCGGCCACCUUGACACUGAGGUACGGCAGCGACUCGUACGGGUGGCAGCAGUGCGGAAUCUUGCACAAUCAGCGCAACCCUGAUGCAGCGACGCCGCGUGGGGGAUGACGCUCUUCGCGUUGUAAACUCCUUUCGCCAGGGACGAAGCGUUUUGUGACGGUACCUGGAGAAGAAGCACCGGCUAACUACGUG